RNAcentral lists this ribosomal RNA (449 nucleotides) under uncultured bacterium. RNAcentral describes it as "partial 16S ribosomal RNA". It matches the Rfam family "Bacterial small subunit ribosomal RNA", at positions 29 to 523 of the family's 1533-position model. The record is from RNAcentral.
AACGAACGCUGGCGGCAUGCCUAACACAUGCAAGUCGAACGAGAUCUUCGGGUCUAGUGGCGCACGGGUGCGUAACGCGUGGGAAUCUGCCCUUUGGUUCGGAAUAACAGUUGGAAACGACUGCUAAUACCGGAUGAUGACGAAAGUCCAAAGAUUUAUCGCCAGAGGAUGAGCCCGCGUAGGAUUAGCUAGUUGGUGUGGUAAAGGCGCACCAAGGCGACGAUCCUUAGCUGGUCUGAGAAGAUGAUCAGCCACACUGGGACUGAGACACGGCCCAGACUCCUACGGGAGGCAGCAGUGGGGAAUAUUGGACAAUGGGCGAAAGCCUGAUCCAGCAAUGCCGCGUGAGUUAUGAAGGCCUUAGGGUUGUAAAGCUCUUUUACCCGGGAUGAUAAUGACAGUACCGGGAGAAUAAGCUCCGGCUAACUCCGUGCCAGCCGCCGCUGUAA